AAACCAUGCAUAAGACGUUUUCUAAGCAACUUAAAUCUUUCCCAAGCUUCGUAAACUAUUUCACCCUCUUAUUGUCAAAAAGAUGUAAUGUCAUUUCUAAGCUU
RNAcentral lists this small nucleolar RNA (104 nucleotides) under Gossypium barbadense (sea-island cotton). Its description in RNAcentral is "Plant small nucleolar RNA R71". It matches the Rfam family "Plant small nucleolar RNA R71". From Rfam's summary of the family: R71 is a member of the C/D box family of snoRNAs containing the C (UGAUGA) and D (CUGA) box motifs. Multiple nearly identical copies of this snoRNA have been identified in Arabidopsis, and it is thought to function as a 2'-O-ribose methylation guide for 18S ribosomal RNA. The record is from Rfam by way of RNAcentral. Lineage: Eukaryota; Viridiplantae; Streptophyta; Magnoliopsida; Malvales; Malvaceae. RNAcentral also lists the same sequence under 2 other names.